UGGCUAUCAUGUUAGCUAUUGGAUUAGCUAUCUCAUUUCUGAAAUCCCAAAGCAAUGCAAAUUAACCGUGCGGUGCGAUUUUUGGGAGCUCUCUGAUUGGUUGGACAGACACAGGCUGGCUAUCUGGAUUUUUCUACACUUCUGUUGUGCUCAUAGCUUUGCACUGCUAAAAAGAGUGUGUGCUUGUACAAAGUUAAUUCAUCCUCGGGAUUUAAACUCUGCCCGACACGGAUAUGUGAAGAGUGAAGGAGCUCUGCUGAACCUCCGAGUGUGCACCUGUGGAUUCAGUCGGACUCAGUCCACCUGUUGAAGGCUGAGACACACCUGGGAGCUGAGUUGACUAAGUCAUCUGUGGUUCAUGCUGUCAUCAGCAGCCUUCUAAAGGUUGAAGAUUUUUCUCAGUCCUUGCCAGAUGGUUGUGUCAACAGUGGUAACAUGUUUGAUUGCCAGAAACAGUCUCUGGUGAGUUGGCUAAAGCCCAAGCUUCAUCUUGUGUAUAAACAGGGAAGGAAGAGUGUGGUGGAUUUUUGGAUAAUGGCCGAGGAGACUUGCUAGGUAAAAAGCUCUCUGCGGUACUCUUCUCAAUGGACUCAAAGACUACACCAGAGUCUCUCAUUUGUUUCUAUGUGUGUUAGAAUGGAUGAAAAUUCACAUUCAUGAAAGUUGUUGCCUGAGGGCCUAUAGAUGCUGGUUGGUUCAACACAGAGAGGUUCUGUUUCCAGAAAGGAAGCCACACCAGAACAAUGGGGAAAGGGACACGUGAUAGGAGACACUGAUUCAAACCUGAUGCAAAUUUGAAGGGUUCACUAACACCAGAGGAAAAGAGCAGGAGAAUUGCAGCAGGCACAGUAAGCCCAGUAGGACAUGCCCAGUUGGAACCUGUCACCCAGGAGGUGCACCAGCCUCAGCUGGCUCCUUUCAAUGUGGAGGUGCAGCAGCUGUACGCUGAGCCCCUCCCAAAUGGCUGAACACCUCACCCUACUGCUAAGGAAAAGCACAUGCACAUUUCGGAGAAAACUUAUUUCCAAAACUUGUAUCUGCAGUCUAAAAGUUCAGGCCUGCUUUAACGGAUUCAUGAUGUUUCUCACCGGCGAUGCUCUAUCUGGUUCCAAAUGGCUGCAGAAAAUUAGGACACAACUAUUUACAGGCAUUGAGUAUCAAUUGAAAUCUAAAACUAGAUUAAAAAUAUUUUUCCAGAUUAAAUGAUGAUCUUCUAAAUUAGUGAGAUGCCAUUUCCUCUCCAACUUAUCAGUUAUGUGCUUGAUGAGUUAUACUUUGAGAGUUA
This is a long non-coding RNA of Oreochromis niloticus (Nile tilapia), 1285 nucleotides long. RefSeq lists it as uncharacterized. The transcript is spliced from 4 exons. Lineage: Eukaryota; Metazoa; Chordata; Actinopteri; Cichliformes; Cichlidae. The record is from RefSeq and is a predicted model, not a curated record.